ACUCCUACGGGAGGCAGCAGUGGGAAUAUUGCACAAUGGGGAAAGCCCAUCGAUGCAGCCAUGCCGCGUGAGUGAUGAAGGUUUUCGAAUCGAGUUAAAGCAUCUGUUAGUAAGGGAAGAAUUAAGGACAAAAAUAAGGAAAUGAGUUACUUUGUUCUUGACGGUGACCUUACCAGAAAGCCACGGCUAACUACGUGCCAGCAGCCGCGGUAAUACGUAGGUGGCAAGCGUUAUCCGGAAUUAUUGGGCGUAAAGCGCAUGUAGGCGGCUUUUUAAGUCUGAUGUGAAAGCCAGUGGCUCAACCACUGAAUUGCAUUGGAUACUGGAAAGCUAGAAUCUUGGAGAGGUAAGUGGAAUUUCAUGUGUAGCGGUGGAAUGCGUAGAUAUAUGAAGGAACACCAAUGGCGAAGGCAGCUUACUGGACAAGUAUUGACGCUGAGAUGCGAAAGUGUGGUAGCAAACAGGAUUAGAUACCCU
RNAcentral lists this ribosomal RNA (477 nucleotides) under uncultured bacterium. Its description in RNAcentral is "bacterial SSU rRNA". It matches the Rfam family "Bacterial small subunit ribosomal RNA", at positions 335 to 788 of the family's 1533-position model. The record is from RNAcentral.